UGGGGAAUAUUGGACAAUGGGCGAAAGCCUGAUCCAGCCAUGCCGCGUGAAUGACGAAGGCCUUAGGGUUGUAAAACUCUUUCGUCGGGGACGAUAAUGACGGUACCCGAAGAAGAAGCUCCGGCUAACUUCGUGCCAGCAGCCGCGGUAAUACGAAGGGAGCUAGCGUUGUUCGGAAUCACUGGGCGUAAAGCGCACGUAGGCGGAUAGUUAAGUCAGGGGUGAAAUCCUGGGGCUCAACCCCAGAACUGCCUUUGAUACUGGCUGUCUCGAGGUCGAGAGAGGUUGGUGGAAUUCCUAGUGUAGAGGUGAAAUUCGUAGAUAUUAGGAAGAACACCAGUGGCGAAGGCGGCCAACUGGCUCGAUACUGACGCUGAGGUGCGAAAGCGUGGGGAGCAAACAGGAUUAGAUACCCCCGUAGUCCCUGAGCGGGCUGGCAAGGCGCAU
This 447-nucleotide ribosomal RNA is filed under the name uncultured bacterium. Its description in RNAcentral is "bacterial SSU rRNA". It matches the Rfam family "Bacterial small subunit ribosomal RNA", at positions 355 to 825 of the family's 1533-position model. The record is from RNAcentral.